Molecule: long non-coding RNA, 16799 nt
Filed under: Malus domestica (apple)
Lineage: Eukaryota; Viridiplantae; Streptophyta; Magnoliopsida; Rosales; Rosaceae
Description: long non-coding RNA (MDOM_LNC002055)
Source: RNAcentral
UGCAACAUUUCAUACAAAAGUUCCUUUGCUCUCACAUAAUUUCCUACUUUACAUAAGCCAUUUAUGAUAGCAUUGUACGUGAAAAGCUCAGGUUUCAACCCCUUAGAAGACAUAGAGUUUUUUAACUGAAAAGCUUCUUCAGGAAGCCCUUCACGACAAUAUGCAUUGAUUAGUGUAUUAUAUGUCACAAUAUCUGAAAACAACCCCUUCUCUUCCCUAUCUGAUAAGAAGAAUUUAACGCUAUCAAUUUUGCGAGCUUUGCAUAAGGCAUUGACCAUUAUAUUCGGUGUAUAAACAUUUAACUGAAUCCCACUGCUAACAACUUCCCCAUAUACGACCCAUGCCAAAUCAAUCCACCCGACCUUCACAAGCCCGCCAAGAGGACUAUUGCAAGCAUUUAUCAAAACACAAACUCCCUUGCUUCUAAACAGCUGAAACGCCUCAAAUCCUUCUCUCAACUUCUUAGCCUGCACAUAAGUUCUAACAAACAUAUCAAAGACCAAAGAACUUGAGCCGCAACUGCUAUAAGUUGAAACCAAAGAGUCUGCUACUUCAACACACGAAAUGCCACUCUUUCUAACCAUUCUAAGAAUCAGAGCUUGUGCAUCCGACGCUGUUCGACCACGCACCAACAUGUGAAUCAUUGCACUCAAAGACAGUGAUGAAUGCUUAAAAUCAGGACUAUUUAACAGAAUCAAAUCAAUAAACUUCAGACCCAGUUGCAAAUUUUCACGGCAGCAAGAAAGAACAACAACAAUAAGAGACGGGUUUAACCGAAACAGAAAGCUGCGCAAAGAGGUGAGGUUACCUUGCUUCAGACCUAAUAAAAUCUUUUCCACCAAAAGAGAAUCUGAUAAAGAAGCUGAUGGCUUGUACUACUACAGGGUUCUUGUGAUUGCAUACUUUUAAGACCAAGUUCCAGGUCAUUUGAUGGACAAUAUGCUAAACAAUGAGGUCUAUGAGAGUGAAAGAGUGAGUGUUCGUUGGUUUUGUGAAGGUUGUGCGGGUUCUCGGACCUACAUUCUCAAAAUUAGCCAAUGGGUUUGCAUGUUUGAAACUAUAAUUUUGUUUGUUAUUAAUUUUAUUCUAAGAUGGGUGGAUAUAGUGAUGACAUUAUCCUGACGGUAUGUUAUCUUUCAUCUAAAAUAAUCAUCUUUUAUCUUCAUCACUCACUUAUUCUCUGAAAUCUCUAAUAUAGGAUUGCAUUUAUCAACACUCCUCAAUAGAACCUGUCUUUUAUGGGCCACAUGUGCAACCAACACUCACUUUUUCUCAAGUAGCACAAGAUUGUCAUGAAAUUGUCGUUAGGUUGGGCCGGAUCGAGAAGAACCCGCUUGAUACAAUUCAAGAUAUAAGCCUAGUGGCUCAUUAUUAAUCACACCCAUAUUUUCCUAACAUAAUCACAUGUACAACUUUGCAGGCGUUCAGUUUUAUCACAAUCAACCUUAGUGAAAAGGGGAGACAUUUAAUAUAAUUUGUUAUUUAUUCUGCCAAGUGUUCGUUGUGAAUUAAUACGAAUUAAUAAUUUGGUCAAGUUGACUGAAUUGUAAUCAACUUUAUAACUAAUAUAUUCUAAACAUUCAAUGGAUAUGCUUCCUGCGGGUUAGAAUUUCUUGAUCAAGCAUGCGUCAUUGGAGCCGAUUCAAACGUUGCUAUAUACUAUCACCUUCAGAAAAUAGAUUUCUAUUACUAUCAGACAUGCAUAUAAAAAUUCAGUUCAAAUAUCAUGUCUCCAUCUUAUGUUUGUUAGCUAUUUCCUUUCUAGCUAGGUCAUCAUCAGUUAAACUUUCAUGAAACUUAUUCUCAUUAAAUUAUCAAUGAUAACAUUGAAUUUCAACCCCCUUACCAAAACAAAAGUUUUGUUAUACAUUUCAUCGAAAUUGCCAUUGAGGUCACAAUACGUAUUGAGAUGUGAUACUAAAACACAUAUAAAUUGUAGUUGAAAAAACAGCAAUGUCACUCAUGUCAAGUUGAAGGUAAUAAUUUUCUUUUUUUUACAUUGAAUAAUCAAAAUUUCUUUGCUCUAGAUGUGAUCGUUGAAGAAUGCUCAAUCUUACUUCUGAAAUUUAGAGAGAAAAUAAAAUAAAACUUAUAGGGAAUGGUUUUACUAUUAAUUGAACCGAGGUCUAUCGGAGGAUCAUCCUCGUCAACAGAUGUGGUGCCGUGCAUAGGAGGCGGCAUAAUUACAUUGUGGUUGUGUUAAUGUAGCCAUAAUAGUGGUAAAAUGAUUUGGUCGAGAAGUUCUUGAGUUCAACUCUCAAUGAAAGUACCAGUUGUUGAAACCAAAUAUGUGUGUCGUCGUGUGUGCUGGAGAUGCUUAAGCUCGUUAACUUGUAAAAGAACAAACGACUGAAAGGCAAGCUAGAGACCGAAGGGGUGUGUGUCUGUGUGAUGGCUAAAGGUUAUCCGACGUCAAGUCAGUAAGCAAUAUUAGGACUCAAGUAGUGGGUAAGAGAAUAAGUGUGCAAAGAUAGCGUUACCAAACAUGCCAUUUUUAGGGUGUAUUUAGACAAAUAGAGGAGAGGACCUUUUAGGAUAGUAAAAUCCUUAUUAAACCAGAAGAAUCCCAGAGGAUAUCUAGGAAGUAGAUAUUGAAUCCUCUUAGGAGUGUAUUUACUUGCGGUGCAUGUCAAUCCUUAGAUGGUAAGGAAUCCAAGAUUAUAGAAAACCUGAUGAUUCCAUACUGGAUUGGGUUCUUGAAUCUUAUGGAACAAGCAUGGUUUAUUUCAAUGAAGUCGAUGGACUUCGCCCGCUGAUUCCAAAACAAGAUGAUUGUGGCAUCACUGAACCGUUUAUCAGCUCUACAAUGGAGGGUGUUGAGUCUAUGGCUGGACUACUAAGGUAGACGUCUUCCAAUCCGUCUUACUCUGGCUCUGAAAAAUCAUGAUCCCACAGUAAACAAUCAAAACUACUAGUUCAUUUUUAUAAGAAUAUUACUUGUAUAAAUGUCGAAUCCAUCAAUGAAUAAGUUUCAGAUAAAAAAAAAUGCGAUAACAUAAAUUUGGACGGCAAUUUCAUAAUACAUUCAUUAAGCUUGAUUUACUAGUACAAGUUAUUAUUAAAUAACAAACUGAUAUACCAACUACUGUAUGUCUCUUUCGCAUUGUUUAAAUAAUGAAAAAUAAUAAUAGAUAAGUUAAUACUAGAAAACUUCAAUAAUUCCCUGCCUAACAAAUAUAAUAGUAAGUUUCAUGUAACUCAAACUUCAUUAGCUAAGCAUGGAAGAAAAAAAAAAGUUAAUAAAUAAAUUUCUCUGUGAUGAUAAUCAAGACUUCAUACUCAAUGUAAUCAGGAAUAAAAUCAUUUAAUAUAAGUUGUCAUUUAUUUUUUGAAAUUUCUGAUAUAAGAUUGUAUUAUUCAACGCUCCUCCUCAAUAGCGCCUGUCUUUGUGGGCCACAUGUGCAACCAAUUUCACAUUAGUAGCCUUUUAUUUUGUUUCUUUCUCUCAAGUAGCGGUAGAUUGUCAUAAAAAUUGUCGUUAGCUUGGGCCGGAUUGAGGAGAAUUUGCUGGAUACCAAUUCAAGAUGUAAGGCUAGUGACUCAUUAUUAAUCACAUUGAUAUUUUCCUAACUUAAUCACAUGUACAGCUUUGUAGGUGUUGAGUUUUAUAACAAACGACCUUAGUGAAAAGUAGAGCCAUUUAAUUGUCACGUCCUAAUCCCGACAUAUGUCCAGGACCGACACGUGACAUCAUCAAAUACACAUAAAUCUAACAUACCUUGCUUCCGGGAUAUGUACCAAACUCAACUCAUGCCUCAAAAUUUCCAAUAUCAUUCACUAACCACCAAUGCGACAAUUCCAAUCCCAUAACAUCAUUUCCAACAUCCACAAGUAUAGGCACUUGGACCUAAUACCUAAGCUCUAAUACCACCAAAAGUUGUCACCAACAAUCCCACGGCGCUGUCGCCGCCAUACACCAUGAAACGGCUUGAAUUGCAUCGAAUUUUUGGGUGAUCAACUAGGGAAGAGAGGUGUAAUGGUGUUUGUAGGUGGUGGGAGGUCAUAAAACACCGGAAAUUGGACUGAAAAACCCGUCAGAAUUGGCAGCAGGGGCGCGGGUCGGGUCGGGGUGUACGGUUCAAAGGGAAAAAGGUCCGAGUUUAGUGCUUCUCAAAAGUUGUCACCAAGAAUCCCACGAUGUUGUCGACACCGUACAACAUGAAACGGCCUAAAUUGCAUUGAAUUUUUGGGCGAUCAACUAGGGAGGAGAGAUGUAAUGGUGUUUGUAGGUGGUGGGAGGUCGUAAAACACCGGAAAUUGGACUGAAAACCCAUUGGAAUUGGCAGCAGGGGCGCAGGUCGGGUCGGGGUGCAGGGGCCAAAGGGGAAAAGGUUCGGUUUAGUGCUUCUCACUUCCCUCAUUUCUCUCCGUGAUCUCCCUCCUGAUUGGGUACUCAACCUUUCCUCCUCCUUCUGAUUCAUCCGCCCCCUCAUUUUCUCUCCUUUCCUUUCCAUCUCAGCCACAUAAGUGGCAUCACAGAUAAAUGCUCCAGCCAUCUGGAGCCUUCUAGAUUAGGUUAAAAUUAUAAAAAUAUCAUUGACUUUAAACGUUAAUAACUUCAUUGUUAUAACUCCGUUUCACGAACGGUUUGAACCUACCCAUUCAUGAGAUCGAGCUAUAUUCAAAAAUAUAAAUUGUGACCUUGAAAGGUCUACAAAUUUUAAAUAAUUAUUUUCCAAACUUCAAACUUCGUAACUAGUUAGAUUAAAAUCUAAAUUCCAACAAAUUAAAAUAAAUUUUCGAAAAAUAUUAUAAAAUCUCAAUAAUAAAAAUACGUAUAUUAUUUCACAUUAAUAUAAUUUGUUAUUUAUUCUGUCAAGUGUUCAUUGUGGAAUAAUACGAAUUAAUAAUUUGGUUAAGUUGACUAAAUUAUAAUAAACUUUAUAACUAUAUCUAUUCUAAAUAUUCAAUGGAUAUGCUCGCUGCGAGUUAGAAUUUCUUGAUCAAGCAUGCGUCAUUGGAGCCGAUUCAAACGUUGCUGUAUACUAUCACCUUCAGAAAAAAGAUUGCUAAUACUAUCAGACAUGCAUUUAAAAAUUCAGUUCAAAUAUCAUGUCUCCAUCUUAUGUUUGUUAGCUAUUUCCUUUCUAGCUAGGUCAUCAUCAGUUAAACUUUCAUGAAACUUAUUCUCAUUAAAUUAUCAAUGAUAACAUUGAAUUUCAACCCCCUUACCAAAACAAAAGUUUUGUUAUACAUUUCAUCGAAAUUGCCAUUGAGGUCACAUUACGUAUUGAGAUGUGAUACGAAAACACAUAUAACUUGUAGUUGAAAAAACAGCAAUCUCAUUCAUGUCUAGUCGAAGGUAAUAAUUUUCUGUUUUUACAUUGAAUAAUCAAAAUUGCUUUGCUCUAGAUGUGAUUGUUGGAGAAUGCGCAAUCUCACGUCUGCUACUUAAAAAAAAAAAAAAAAAAAAAUUACAACGUAUGGUCAAUGGUUUUACUAUUAAUUGUAUCGCGGUCUUUUGAGAUCAAAUCUAACACCUUGUUGGAAUGGGUAAAUAAUAAAAUUAGAAAUAUCAAUGUGAUUAGUAGUAGACCGUUGCUCCGACUGUGACAUGUUGAUAGUGAUUCCUUCAUCUGUAUAACACUCAACCCACAUUGACUUGAUUUUGGAAUUAGAUAUCUGUGAUCUAAACUGUUAUUGCAUGGUUUGACCAAGGAGCUAGAUUUAUUGUAAAAAAUAAACUAUCAUAGAAAAUCUGCAACAGUACGAGAAAUUUGUAAUGGAUAUUUUAGGUAGAGCAUCUUCAAUCAUUAUUAUUAUUUUCUAAUUUUAACAAAAAAAUUACUAGAGAAUUAGUUUAGAAAAUACUUUAAUAUUAACUAAAAAAGUAAAAGAAAUUAAAAGGGAGAAAAGGAGAAAAAAUUGGUUGUAAGGUCAUCUCCAACGGAAAUGUUAAAUAUAACUCCAUCCAAAAUUAUAGUCUUGUAAAAAAUUAUUUUUAAAUGAACAAUAUUAGGUCAUAUUCAUAUACCAUCUCCAAUUGAAAGAGCUAAACAUAGUCCCUCAAUAACUUAUUAGUUUUAAGUUUAUACUUUAAAUUUAUUGGCUACAUUUUGAUGUGUCAAAUCUAGCCGUUGAAUUUAAAUUAAAUGUUGCAACUAAGGAGUUGGGCCCCCAAAAAGAGGCUAAGAGCCUGAUGCUUUUUUGGCCAAAUAAUGACAUUGUGGGCUGCAUAUAAUUACAUAAUCAUCAGUUGAAGGUGAAUUUUUGGACAAAUUAAGCUUUUUUUUUACUUUUGAAUCUUUAGUCCUCUCCAUUGAAAAUGACCUAAGAAGCUAAAAAGAAGAAGACGGCAUAUGUAACACAAAAACUAAACUCCUUGGAACAGAUAAACCCCAUAUUACAAAAAAUAUAAAAAGAUCCAAUGAAAUAAAAGAUAAACGUAAUUUUUAACUAUCUUAAUAUGAUAGCACUUGACCUCUCAUAGCAAAUUUUAUGACUAGUACAACACUUGAACGACUUGCAUAGAGAAUAUAGUUGUAUUCAGUCAGUUUCGGAAAGGAUUAGCAGGUACGGGUAGAUUGUCACCCUCUCCUUCUAACAUUUGAAUAACAACUUUCAUGGAAGGGCGAUCUAUUGGGUGCCAUUGGACGCACCAUAGACCCACAAUAGCUAGCUUCUUUGCAGUUUCAGCAUCUCCUCCGUCCUCAAUGUGAAUCCGUAGGUCGUCCCCUUGUUCUAAAAGGUUAUAAAUCCAUUCUGGGAAGUAGACUUCGCUGCUGGUGGAGUCCUCUUCCAUGAACUUAAAGUUUUUUCUUCCCCCGACCAUUUCCAGCAGCAACAUUCCAAAGCUAUAGACAUCUGACUUGUAGGACACGUUUCCAAAGUUCCUAGAAAACACUUCGGGCGCAAUGUAGCCAAUGGUCCCUCUGAUGGUAGUCAUGGAUACUGCGCUUUGAUCUCUAGAGCACAACUUGGCGAGACCAAAAUCGGAAACUUUUGGGGUGAAAUUCUGGUCUAGCAAAAUGUUGUGUGGUUUGAUAUCGAAAUGGAGGAUUCGGAGGUCACACCCUUGAUGAAGAUAUUCAAUUCCUUUGGCUAUACCUAAAGCAAUCUCAUGCAACUUAUCCCAACCAAGGAAAGCGCUUUUACUAUCUGCUGAUGAUAAGAUAUUCUGUAGUGAACCAUGUGGUAGAUAUUCAUACACAAGAGCUGUUGUGUACCCAUCAGCACAAAAACCAACCAAGCGAACCACAUUGACAUGGUGGACUCGACCCAUUGUUCCGACUUCAUUUAUAAAAUCUUCUCCUUUUUCAUUAGAAUUGUUGAGGAUUUUCACAGCUACAAGUAAGUCGGAGGAAAGCUGUCCUUUGUACACUGUUCCAUAGGCUCCUUGACCUAACUUUUCAUUGAAUUGAUUUGUUAUCCUUUUAAUAUCAGCGUAGGAAUAUCUACUUGGCUUGUGUGCUAUGUAAUCGUCCAAAAAUCUUUCAAUCCUCAACUGAUUUGUUUUCUCUAUUUUGUUGGAGCUAUAAACACGGUAAAUGAGAGUCCCCACGACUGUUACAACCACAGAAAAUGUGAAAAUACCUGCGGAUACAGAAGAAACUCUGCGUUAAGAACCAACCCAUUUCUAAAUUAAAUUAAAAUAAAUCACAAUUGCCUCCAACUGAUAAAGCCCCCAGAAAUCAGAACUGAAUUUAUAUUAAUACUUAUACAUAUAUAGGGUACUUUUGUGCGGAAUUUAACGUGUCUUUUAUCGGGAUGCUGGCACUGAGUUUUGAACUCAUAAGGUUUUCUUGUACCUUAAAAGAAGAACCCUUUCAAGGAUGGGAUCCAAAACUUGAAAAACAAAUGAUGAAAAUUGGUGCCCAUUGAAGCAAGUUCCGACUAGGACCCUAAAAUAUAACAUACUGGCAUGAGUUUCAAUAAUCCAAACCGUCUUGGAUUUAGCUCUCCAUCUAAGAUUUAUGAUUAUGGAUCACACAAGUGUGCAAAAAUUAACCUAACUAUUAGCAGUUCAAAACUUCAAAUUCAAUCUUGUAAAAAUAGUGCUUAUGUGAACAACUUACCAGAUAUCUCUAAGCUUGUCCUUCCACGGGUACUAUCUGUAAAAGCAGGUUAAUUAAGUCAAUAAUUAGUACUUUUGUUAUCAAAAGAAUAAAAUACUUGAAGAAUUGUUUGCAUAAAUCUUUGUUUUCAUUUAAUAUAAAAAGUUCGAAUAUAUUCUUUGAGUCCAAAUUUGUUGUAUAUAUUAUCUGCACAAACUAGCUAAUUAAAACCUUGUCAAUGUGAAAAGGAGGGAAAUAUUUGCCGGCAAAGUACUGCAACAAGUCAAGUUAAAUGGGAGAUUAAAGGAUACCUUCGCUCACGCAUUCAGUUUCUGCAGUCUGAUUAUCUGUGAAAUUAUAUUGACCAAUAGUUCUUUUCAGUCUGCAAGUCUUGCCCAUCUCUUCGCAACGUCCACAUGAUGGUUUGGACCACUGCAGCAUCAUAAGGUUGAAUGCUCCCACUGAUGAAAUUUGUGGAAUUGAUUUGUAAUCACGCAGCUUGGUACAAGACACUAGGUUCAUGUCAUCAAUGGAACACUGGCCGUCGACAGCAUAGUAGUUAGUUUGGUUUUCAGGAUUGUCAACGCCGUAAGGGCACAGUUCAAUACGACAAUAUACGUCCGUUUCAAGUAAUGGUGACGGACAACUGAAUAAAGUAUAAUUAGUAUUAAACGGUCCAUGCACAAAUUGAAAGGUCGAGGAAGAUAAGUUGAAUUUGAAAAUAUCUUUCGGCAGGCAAUCAUUUUGGAAAUAUACUCCGAUUUCUUGAGAUGCGUAGUUAAUCGUUUCAACGAUGAGCUUGUUAGAUGAGGAUGGCAUCUCAAGCACGGUUCGGCCGUCGGUGGUGCAUGAUAGAUCAAAGCCAUGGUAACCGCACGAGAAUGGCUGUCCUUUAAGUCGAAAUGGGAAUCGGAUGGCUGGACCGUGGUGUUCACAGUAACUUACUUGCAGUUUUCAGGGACUACUCUGUCGCCAUACACUGUGCUUACAAAUCCAGCAUCUGCUAUCAUGAGAAACCAGCACAAGAAAUUGAUCAGAAGCAUUCUACCCGAUGAGAAUAUUGAUUGUAGAAGUUUGGUAUCUAGGUAAUUCAUAUAUAUGAUUGUAUAUAAGAUAUGGGAUUGCAGAAGUCCCCUAUGUUUUGGGUAAUAAAUAAUAAUCUCUUUUUAUAUUCACCCCUUCGUUCCAUUUCCUACCCCCAAAAACGGUUUUCUAAAUUUUUUGAAUCUUCCACCCAAUUUUGUUUUUAACUUCAAUUUGAAGGACUUGGUCGUGAUUUGCGUAUGGGUUAUUACCAUCGUUAUCAAAUAAAAACUUUUAGUCGCUUUUAUGCAACUGUUACUCGCCGUAACGUGAAACUGGAAUGCUGGAAACUGUUUCUUCCCCAGAUGGGCCAGAUCAACCCAUUAUUAUACAUGUUAUUCCGAGUUAGAUGAGCUGGGUUCUGUGGUCGUGUGGCUUCAAUAUUGGUCAUUCUACAUUGAGUAAUACUAGGUAGAUUAACACUUUAGUAAUAAUCCAAUUAUCAGCUUCCAUGUCAUUCAGUUUACAAAAUUUAUUCUAUAAAUUUAAUCUUCCUAACAUUACCCUUCUAGAAUUUGGAGUUGUCAAUAUAGUUUGGUUGUGCAAAUUUGUUCUCUUUAGUUUAGCCUUGGUUGUUGUUGUUGUUGGAAUUAGUAUUGAUGAGACUUGUGUUUUGCAUAAGUCUUUAAUGUAUUCUUAAAGUUUUUGCGAUAACUAUGGUUGUUGUGUUGAAAAACUAUUUAUUAAAGUUUUUUUUUUCAUUCAAUAAAAGAAAGGUAAGUGAUUUUUACACACGAUUUUUCUUCUCCUACGUACACAUGUAUAUGUACAUUUCUGGCCUUUAAAAAUUAAAAAAAAAGGCAGAAAAAGAAAAGAGUGUUAUGGGAAAAAAAAUUAUAUAUAUAUAUAUAUAUAAUUUUUUUUUUCUUUUUAACAAAGGGAAAGGAUAAUACUUGGAUCUUCCCAGGAAAGUACCUAAUUUACUGACCAUCUUACAUGGCCAAUAAAUUUAAAACACCUAGCAUUUUAACUCUCUUCUAAUAUUUUUCUAUCUCUGUCACCAAACACAUUUUGUACCUGAGAACCCACUCUUCUUCCCAUCUUCUUUCCUUGCCCAGCCCAACCCUUCACCUUCUCCGGCGACCAUCUCCAUGCCUAUCGGGAGUUUACUAAUUGGGCCACAAGUACCCACCGGGGAUAAUACUUAUUGGGCCACUUAAGAGUGAGUAAAUUGAAUAAUACUUGGGUCCUAACCUAUCAGGAUCAAGUGUACGGACCACUGACGUGGUCCAAUAAUAUAAAGAUAUCUGUAAUUUUAAAACGGGAUGUGCUAUUUAUACAUCAUUUUUUACUUUUUACAUACUUUUUAUUAAUUUUUAUCUAUUAAUCUUCUUCAAUUUAUCCGAUUCGACGAUUGAAAAUUAGAAAGAUAUGUGAGAAGUAAAAAAAGGUGUUUGGAUAUCACAACCCUUUUAAAACACCACUAUUCUAGUACCCAAACACCUUAAGUCCUAAACUCAUAACCCAUAACCCACCUCCAGAUUCCCUCCUCAGUCGUCAUCGACCGAUGCCCCACCUUUUCACCGCCUUCCCUCCCCAGCAUCUCUCUCUCAUCAGAGUCUGCCAUUCUUUUGAACUUCAAAGUUCCAAACCUCUUGUCUUCCACAACCUCCAAUUUCGAGGAUUUCCAUAACCCAAUUUUACCGAGCUCAGAUCUGGACGCCGGAGAGGGAUUGAAACUGACGUCGCCGGAGAAAAGAAGGAUUGGGAGUGGUCGGGAGUGAGACGGAGUGCGGGGGUUGCUGGAGAAAGAAGGGUUGAGGAAGAAGACUGGGUGAUUGGUUACAAAAAUAAGCAAGUGUUUGAUUGAGUUUCACUUGACAGGUGGAAUAAUUUUAUUGGACCACGUAAGUGGUCAGCUUGUCAGUAUUAUCCUAGUUUUACUCGUCUCGUGGGUUUGUCUUUGCUUCGUUUGUGAUAAAUAAUGGGCUCCAAGCGGCCAAUUUAUAUCUGAAUUCGCCCCUUUCUUGCCUUAAGCCAAAAACCCUUGCUCCCCAUUAAGCUUUUUUGCCCUCUUCCAUAAUUUUGAUACAUUUAUAUUCUCUUUUGCCAUGUGUAGAGGAAGUCUCUUACUAGUUGCAUAUGGAGCCCUUCUUCUACUCUUUCUUCUUCCCUUUAUUUGUUCCCAAACAUCGAUACCUGAAAAUAAUUCUGUUUGUACUCUUUCUUGUGGCAAUAUUAACAUAAGCUCUCCAUUUCGGUUAAAAGGAGACCCUCAACACUGCGGCAACCCUACGUAUGAGCUAACUUGUGAGGAAAAUGUUACAGUCCUCUACUUUUAUAACCGAAAGUUUUACGCCAAGGCGAUCAAUUACAAUAACUUUACAAUCCGAGUUGUGGAUGCUGCUGUUCAAAAGAAAGAUAACUACUACUCCAUCCCACGUUACUCUUUAACCUCAUCCAGCUUUGGUUAUUGGGAUCCUUACAGCACUUCUAGUCCGACUGACGUGGGGUUCAAAUAGUCCAGAGAUAAGUUACACGGCACGGCCUAUAAUUUUUAUGAACUGUCCAAAUCCAAUGCAUUCUCCUGGCCUUGUAGAAACAGCUCCAUGCGUCAAGGACGGCACCUGCUCUUCCAAUUCUUCUCUGUCCAAUGGUUUAAGAAUGUUUUCUUAUUCCAUCUCUGGCUGGAAUGGCUCUGUAACUUUUUUGGAUUUGGGGGUGUCCUGUGAAAUAACGCAGAUGCUUAUGGUCUCACUUUCGUUAUCCGUACAAGACAUGCAUCAACACUUGACGUCCUGUGAAGGCAUAUAUAGUGAAAUAGCGCAUGGCUUCGAGCUUUCAUGGUUUCACCAGGCUUGUAGCACCUCAAACUGCACAGAUGUGGAGGAAUGUGUGCUCAACAACGUGAGCAAAAUUGAGUGCUUUCGCUAUGAACCCAUAUAUGAACCCAGAAAAGGUAGUGUCUAUUAUUCCUCUUAUUCACAAGGCUAGAGUAACCAAAUUAAUUCAGCAAAUAAUUAGUCUUCAAUUACUGGGAGUCUGUCUGUCUAUGGAGAUUUAGGUUUUACAACUCCAGAAUAAAUUAUGUCAUAUAAAUAUUGACCAGAUGAAUGGGAGAGAAGCCUUUAUUUCUAUUAAGUACGUAUUCGAGGCUAAAUUUAUUGAGGAAGGAUCGCUACCUUUCUUUUUGUACUCUCUCUUUUUACCUUUUUACUUUAUUUUUAAGAUCUUACAUAUUACUUGAUAAUCAAAACUGUUUAUUUUGCAUACCACUAUAAACUAAUACUGCAAAAUACCCCAUUAAUCAGAAUUUAGAAAUCAUUUCACUGUUCGAUUAACGAUGUCAUGAUUUUUUGUUUAACUAAAGCACAUGGUUCACCUUUUAUUGAAUUCAUAUAUUGUUAUUUUUUCUAGUAAUAUUUAGAAAAUAGGCAGUUUGGAAUAUCAAGUAAUAUUGUAAGAUCUUACAAAAAAGUAGAAGGUAAUAAGUGAAAGUACAAAACAGAAAGGUAGCUAGCAUUCUCCUAUGAUAUUAAUUUUCACCUUUUUUUUUCUCUUAAUGGUAAAUAAUAUAUGAUCCUUUAGAGGAAAAAUAAUAUAUAUGAUCCUUAAUGAUAAUUCUUCUUCUUUUGCAAUGCAGAACAUUGGUACAUCAAGAUACUAUGGGCACUAGGCAAGUGGUUUACUCUCUAACGCAGCUUCUAUAUAAUACAUGUGUAGUUAGUUUCUUUAUUUGUGGUCACCUUGAUAUUUAUUAAACUUAAAUUACAUUUGGAAACUAUGAUCGAUAUUCAUCACUUUGCUGCAGAAUUGGUUUUGUACCAGAUGUAUUUGUUCAUCCGCUAUGGACGGUUUAUCCCUAGCGACGUGAUGAGUCAUAAGGCCCUUUACGUGUGUCCGAUAACUGUGGCCUCUCUCCUAGGUAGUGUGAACUACUCGUACUCAGCUAUCAUGCAACUUUUUCUAGCUUCAGAUACUCAUCAUUAAAAAAUGAAUGUUUGAUGAUCACUUUGUCUUUGUUUUCAUUCUUAUUAUUAUGUUUUAGUUAAAGGUUGCAGGGGAAUAUGGAAGAAUAUAUAUGAGAAAGAUGUGAAAAGGACAGGGAGGAUCGAGGUGGAUAGAGAAAUUGUUAGUCUUUGAAACAAUCUCAAAGAGUUUUCCAAUAAUUUUUUGUUUCAUAAAUUCUCCAUUUCUCCAUCAUCCCCCACCCCCAUCCCCAUAUCUUCUUUCUACAAUUUCCCCUCGCCUUUUUUCCUCUCUCUUUUUAGAUUAAAAAUUAAAACUAAAGGAUUUCCAAACAGUUGCUUAAUUAAUGAAAAAUAUUGUUGCACUAAAGGAACAAGUUUGAUGAUAUUACAGCAAUCAAUCUAUUUGGUGACUCCAAUGUUUUUGAAACGUGCAGGACUGUUCCAAGUAGUCAAAUUUUUAUUUGGCUUUCCCUGUUUAAUUGCAUUAAUAAUAUACAAAUGCAAAAGGAGGCACUUGUCCAUGUAUGAAAAUAUAGAAGACUUUCUGCAGAAUAAUCAGCUCAUGCCAGUAAGGUACUCUUACUCGGACAUAAGAAAGAUGGCCAGAGGUUUUAAGGACAAGUUAGGGGAAGGUGGCUUUGGUUCUGUGUACAAGGCAAAGCUUCGCAGUGGCCGUCUUGUUGCCAUCAAGAUGUUGGGCAAGUCGAAAGCCAACGGGCAGGAUUUUAUCAAUGAAGUUGCUACCAUCGGAAGGAUUCACCAUGUUAACGUGGUCCAACUUAUUGGUUUUUGUGUGGAGGGUUCAAAACGUGCUCUUUUAUAUGACUUCAUGCCUAAUGGGUCUCUUGAUAAGCACAUAUUUUCUCAACAAGGAGUUAUCUCCUUAAGUUGCGAGAAAAUGUCUGAAAUCUCACUUGGAGUGGCUCGUGGUAUUGAAUAUUUGCAUCGAGGAUGUGACAUGCAAAUUUUGCACUUCGACAUCAAGCCUCACAACAUUCUUCUCGACGAGAACUUUCUUCCGAAGGUUUCAGAUUUUGGGUUAGCAAGGCUAUGCCCAUUAGAUAAUAGCAUUGUGUCUUUGACUGCAGCGAGAGGAACCCCCGGAUACAUAGCUCCAGAGUUAUUCUACAAAAACAUUGGAGGUGUUUCAUACAAAGCUGAUAUCUAUAGUUUUGGGAUGCUACUGAUGGAAAUGGCUGGAAAAAGAAAGAACUUAAACGUAAAUAUAGAACACUUGAGCCAAAUAUACUUUCCGACAUGGGUUUUCGACCAGCUGAGUGGAGGAAAUGACCUUACAAUCGGAGAUGCUACAGAGGAGGAAAAGAAAAUCAUUAAGAAGAUGAUUAUUGUGGCGUUGUGGUGCAUACAAAUGAAGCCUAGCGACCGUCCUUCUAUGAAUAAAGUAGUAGAGAUGCUUGAAGGAGAAAUUGAGAGCCUUCAAAUGCCUCCAAAGCCUUUCUUAUACCGACAACAAAUGCCAGAGGUGGUUACUGGCGACAGUUCAAGUACCGCAUAAGCUGCAUCGACAACGACAACAUCCACGGAAAUUGUUUUGAUUGCAGAUGAAAAUUCAGAGAAUUAAUAUAGCUAGUAGCAAUGUUGAUGUGCAAAGGAACGUGUAGUGUACCCAAUAAGCACAAAUAGACUACUUGUAUUCAAUGGCAUUGAUUGCUUUCUAGUUUUCAGUUUUUAGCUUUGGUACGUACAAGGAUUAGUUUAUGCACAAAUUGUCUCUCGAUUAGUAUGGAAAAGCUUUAGAUAUAUAAUUUGUGUAUGAGCAAAGUUCGAUAUCUAUAUAUUAUGUUGAAGAAUGCAAUCCUACAUAAGAAACUAAACAAAUUGCACAGCUUAUAUCGAAUGGUUCCAAUUCCAGUUGCAUAUGAGAAGCUUUAAGAGGAGAAGGUACCUGAUCAAGGCGUGGCUAUCUUUGAUUAUUUUCUCAGGAUGUGCAUUUGAAUUCAAAUUAACUUAGAAAGGUAGAACUAAUAUUUAUUCUUCAUACAAAGACUAAAGCAUAUUGCCUUCCAUAUGCGACCCAAUUAAUAUUUAUUGCAAUCAGUAGGCUUAAAAGAGAGUCUCUUUCGUUUGUGCCAUGUUGCCAAAGACAGCGAUUUCUCAACGAAUGGGUCUGAAAGCUAAGCAAACUACAUCCAUUGACACUCUUAAGAAAGUGUUGAAAGCUUGUAACUUCACAUCUGCACCAGUGAAAUCCGCAGUGAUUACCGGAGCUUUGAUAGUCGAUUAGGUCUUGUAGCUGAGGCUUAGGAAGCGUUCAGGGUCAGUCAGACGUCUUAAUCUUAUGGACUCACCGUCAAUUCCAGCUUAUUGUAUAAGUCCUCUGGCAACAAUGUCAGCGUAGUCCAUGAAUCAACGAUAAUAUUGCCCUUUGCUGGAGCCAAUGAAGGGUUCAGUGAACUGUUAUAUUGCAAUCUCUUACGCCCAACGCUCAUUGCUUCAAGCCUUAGAUACUAUAAAGAUUUUGAGCCUCCAGAAAGUAAUGGGGUAGAAACCGCUGUGGUGCCGGAAACCACAGCUUCAAUGCCGAAGCUCAUUGUGCUUGAUGAGUUGAAUCCUGAAAAAGCAUGCACAAGGCAGGAGGAAAAUUUCGCAUCGAUUGAAGAACUCAUCUGAGAGAUGAGGGACACCGGUCCACGUCCAAGCCCAAUCAUGCCUGAUCCAUUUCUGUUAAAGAGGCCUCCAUUGUCUUGUCCACAACCAAACAUCAUUUGUGGGAAUGAAACUGGUUGCCCAGCAGUGGAGUUAAAUGUGACACUUUCUGUGGCUACAACUCACUUGCUGUAGGAUCUGUCCCCGUAAGAAACUGUGUAAUUACAAACUCCAUCUGUGUCGGGAGGAGAAGAGGUUCCGGUCACGAAUUUGCAUUGGCUUGAGUUACGAAGAACUUCUGCAUACGUUUUCAAAUUCUUUGGAUCAAAGAUUGGCGCAUUCUGCUUGUAACAAUGCAGGGCAUACAUUGCGUCCAUGUAAGAUCACUACCUGUAUCUGCAACGCCUAAGAUUUCAAGAGGAGGUGUACCUACUGAUAUUUUCAGGUUUCAACCCCUUAGAAGAAGACAUAAAGAGUUUUUUAACUGAAAAGCUUCUUCGAGAAGCCCUUCACGACAAUAUGCAUUGAUUAGUGUAUUAUAUGUCACAAUAUCUGAAAGCACCCCCUUCUCUUCCAUAUCUGAUAAGAAGAAUUUAACGCUAUCAAUUUAGCGAGCUUUGCAUAAGGCAUUGACCAUUAUAUUUAGCGCUGGUUUGGUAUUGCUGUGCUUUGAAAAAAAAGUUGUUGUGAGAAUAAGCGGCUGUGCUAUGAGAAUAAGUAGCUGUGAAAUAAAUCAGCAGAGUGUUUGGUAAACUUUUUUGUAAAAGUGCUUUUGGAAAAGAAAAAAAACCAAUCUGACCGUGGGUCUUUUCAUUAAAGGAGCACUGUAGCUCUGUGUGCUUUGAAAAAAAACCAGUUUUCCAAAGCUACAAAUAGCAGCUUUAGCUUUUUCCUUUGAUUUCAGCUUAUUCUCACAGCAGCUUCUAAAAUAAGCCAUUUUUUUUCAGUUUACCAAACACCUAAAACCCUCACAGCUUUUUUUCAUGGGUGCUUUUUUUUUAAGCACCUCACUCCCAAACCACCCCUUAGUGUAUAAAUAUUUAACUGAAUCCCACUGCUAACAACUUCCCCAUAUACGACCCAUGCCAAAUCAAUCCACCCGACCUUCACAAGCCCACCAAGAAGACUAUUGCAAGCAUUUAUCGAAACACAAACUCCCUAGCUUCUAAACACCUGAAACGCCUCAAAUCCUUCUCUCAAUUUC